GUGGACCAUGCCAUCACGGCGUCUGCAACGGUCAGGAAGAUCUUGUCUUCGCCGAUCAGGUCCACGAAUUUUGAUGCGUGGAUCUUGUCUAUCACCGUCUGCCCAGGAUUCGCCAGAACAAGCUGCGUGGAUGAACUGUCGAGAGAAUAACAGAGAUCAAAGGGGCGAUUGCAGGCACCCAGAAAAGGCUCUUCUUCUUCUUCCCCUGUAGCACUUUUGAGUCACAUAAGAAGGAAACCUUCCACAAGCAUGGAGUCCAAGGAAUAUGAAGCAGAGAGAAAAAACUUACAAUGUAUUUGGCAACUAGAAGGAAAACCAAGAAGACUGAUCCUAUGAGGAUUGUCUGCCAAUUCCACUGCGAAUGUAGUAAAAGAAAACAGUCAGUGAGGAAAAAUGACAGCAAUCUGUACUUCUAAACUCAGUAUUUCUAAAUUCAGUAUUUCUAAACUCAUUA
Magnolia sinica is the source of this 454-nucleotide long non-coding RNA. RefSeq lists it as uncharacterized. The record is from RefSeq and is a predicted model, not a curated record. The transcript is spliced from 2 exons. NCBI's taxonomy places the organism in Eukaryota, Viridiplantae, Streptophyta, Magnoliopsida, Magnoliales, Magnoliaceae.